ACUAAACGAUUUCUCGUCCACACAGACGCUUCUAUGUUUGGAUUGGGAGCAGUACUAAGCCAAGUCGGAGCAGAUGGCAGCGAGCAUCCCGUAGCUUACUUAAGCAGAAAACUUUUACCCUGAGAAGUAAGCUACGCUGCCAUAGAAAUGGAAUGCCUUGCCAUGGUGUGGGCCCUCAAGAAACUGCAACCAUAUAUACGGACAACCAUUCUCGCUACUCACAGAUCACAACCCGUUAGUCUGGCUAAAUCG
Pelobates cultripes (western spadefoot toad) is the source of this 252-nucleotide non-coding RNA. NCBI's taxonomy places the organism in Eukaryota, Metazoa, Chordata, Amphibia, Anura, Pelobatidae. The record is from the annotation of a GenBank genome assembly.